AGUGAACGCUGGCGGUAGGCCUAACACAUGCAAGUCGAACGGCAGCACAGUAAGAGCUUGCUCUUACGGGUGGCGAGUGGCGGACGGGUGAGGAAUACAUCGGAAUCUACUUUUUCGUGGGGGAUAACGUAGGGAAACUUACGCUAAUACCGCAUACGACCUACGGGUGAAAGCAGGGGAUCUUCGGACCUUGCGCGAUUGAAUGAGCCGAUGUCGGAUUAGCUAGUUGGCGGGGUAAAGGCCCACCAAGGCGACGAUCCGUAGCUGGUCUGAGAGGAUGAUCAGCCACACUGGAACUGAGACACGGUCCAGACUCCUACGGGAGGCAGCAGUGGGGAAUAUUGGACAAUGGGCGCAAGCCUGAUCCAGCCAUACCGCGUGGGUGAAGAAGGCCUCCGGGUUGUAAAGCCCUUUUGUUGGGAAAGAAAAGCAGCAGGUUAAUACCCCGCUGUUCUGACGGUACCCAAAGAGUAAGCACCGGCUAACUUCGUG
This 492-nucleotide ribosomal RNA is filed under the name uncultured bacterium. RNAcentral describes it as "partial 16S ribosomal RNA". It matches the Rfam family "Bacterial small subunit ribosomal RNA", at positions 29 to 507 of the family's 1533-position model. The record is from RNAcentral.